AGUGAACGCUGGCGGUAGGCCUAACACAUGCAAGUCGAACGGCAGCACAGUAAGAGCUUGCUCUUACGGGUGGCGAGUGGCGGACGGGUGAGGAAUACAGCGUAAUCUACUUUUUCGUGGGGGAUAACGUAGGGAAACUUACGCUAAUACCGCAUACGACCUACGGGUGAAAGCAGGGGAUCUUCGGACCUUGCGCGAUUGAAUGAGCCGAUGUCGGAUUAGCUAGUUGGCGGGGUAAAGGCCCACCAAGGCGACGAUCCGUAGCUGGUCUGAGAGGAUGAUCAGCCACACUGGAACUGAGACACGGUCCAGACUCCUACGGGAGGCAGCAGUGGGGAAUAUUGGACAAUGGGCGCAAGACUGAUCCAGCCAUACCGCGUCGGUGAAGAAGGCCUUCGGGUUGUAAAGCCCUUUUGUUGGGAAAGAAAAGCAGCAGGUUAAUAUCCCGCUGUUCUGACGGUACCCAAAGAAUAAGCACCGGCUAACUUCGUG
RNAcentral lists this ribosomal RNA (492 nucleotides) under uncultured bacterium. Its description in RNAcentral is "partial 16S ribosomal RNA". It matches the Rfam family "Bacterial small subunit ribosomal RNA", at positions 29 to 507 of the family's 1533-position model. The record is from RNAcentral.